UACAUGGGGUGCAAACGUUGCUCGGAAUUAUUGGGCGUAAAGCGCACGUAGGCGGUCCGUUAAGUCGGAUGUGAAAUCCCCCGGCUCAACCGGGGAAGUGCAUCCGAAACUGGCGGGCUAGAGUACGAAAGAGGGUCGCGGAAUUCCCGGUGUAGAGGUGAAAUUCGUAGAUAUCGGGAGGAACACCGGUGGCGAAGGCGGCGACCUGGGUCGAUACUGACGCUGAGGUGCGAAAGCGUGGGGAUCAAACAGG
This 253-nucleotide ribosomal RNA is filed under the name uncultured bacterium. Its description in RNAcentral is "partial 16S ribosomal RNA". It matches the Rfam family "Bacterial small subunit ribosomal RNA", at positions 524 to 776 of the family's 1533-position model. The record is from RNAcentral.